CCUACGGGUGGCAGCAGUGGGGAAUAUUGGACAAUGGGGGGAACCCUGAUCCAGCCAUGCCGCGUGUGUGAAGAAGGCCCUCGGGUUGUAAAGCACUUUCAGUGAGGAAGAACGCCUGGUGGUUAAUACCCAUCAGGAAAGACAUCACUCACAGAAGAAGCACCGGCUAACUCCGUGCCAGCAGCCGCGGUAAUACGGAGGGUGCGAGCGUUAAUCGGAAUUACUGGGCGUAAAGCGCGCGUAGGUGGCUUGAUAAGCCGGUUGUGAAAGCCCCGGGCUCAACCUGGGAACGGCAUCCGGAACUGUCAAGCUAGAGUGCAGGAGAGGAAGGUAGAAUUCCCUGUGUAGCGGUGAAAUGCGUAGAGAUCGGGAGGAAUACCAGUGGCGAAGGCGGCCUUCUGGACUGACACUGACACUGAGGUGCGAAAGCGUGGGUAGCAAACAGGAUUAGAUACCCCGGUAGUC
RNAcentral lists this ribosomal RNA (465 nucleotides) under Vreelandella stevensii. RNAcentral describes it as "partial 16S ribosomal RNA". It matches the Rfam family "Bacterial small subunit ribosomal RNA", at positions 338 to 795 of the family's 1533-position model. The record is from RNAcentral. Lineage: Bacteria; Pseudomonadati; Pseudomonadota; Gammaproteobacteria; Oceanospirillales; Halomonadaceae.